CGCACAUCUGAGCCUUGGCCUGUUCGGUCACCCGUCUGCCUGUUCUAUUUUUGGAUUUCACCUGGUUUGGUGGGCUCCGAGUGAAUUCUUGCGUUCCUUCUGAACUUCGACAUGGCACCACUGCGCUAUAGGGCUACGGCAAGGUCUUGGAGUAGCGGCAGCGAGGGAGACAGCGCCUAUAUGCACGUUGACGUCUUGAGGCUUAUCGGCAGACUCGUGCUGAUACCAUCAGCAUGGUGGAACGGUGGCUCGAGAUCGGAGAGCUACGUCACCCGUCUGCCCAACUAGACAAGCUACCACGGCCCGUCUGCGCAGCCGAUCUUCACAGCAGGCGAGUGGCGUCCCGACCACGGUGCUUCGACGGCUCUGUGCAUGGACGCCGCAUCCGAUGGUGCAACGGCGGCAGUGCGGGCACCUUGAAGCACUAAAGAACCGGGAAGCCGACCUGGGCUCGUCACAAGGCACGGCAGGCAUGAAGAGUAACCCUUUCCUUUACCUCGUGCAGAUCAAAAAGGCAAAGCGCACACACAACAAACGUCUAUCGGCGGCGAGAAUUUGGAGUGGCGCCUUCUCACGAGUGACGUCACGGCCAGGACACCGCUCACUCCGGCUCGCUUGGCUGCCGCUCGCGCCAUGACCCCUGUCACCGCCCCUGGGAGGAACAUUGCUCGCUUGUGCGAAAAGGCAAGUCUGCAUGACUCAACGAACGAACCUUGAGUCAUAUGCUUUUGCGUAAUAUAGGAACGUCGCAAGACUUUGGUUUAUUGAAGAUUUCUUGAACAUGUCGAGCGCAGGAAGAAAAUUUGGUUUCUCCUGCGUUAAUAAAACUGUUUCAAUGGACUGCCCUUGGGGAACUACAAGUUAAAGACUAAAAAAUGCAUACUGUGCUGUGGAAUACUGUGGAUAUCUCCAGGAGAAGGAAGCUCAUUUUUCAGACGCUUUGGAAAAUAUCGUGGCAUGCUUCCUGCUCCGUUGAUUUAGUCGUUCUUUUUUCUUUACGAAGAUAACAGAGAUGUUCUUUUCAUCACGGCUGCAAACUUUUAGUAUGUUAACAUACUAUGCGAGAAUUCACGCAACUUCCAAGAGCAAUUUCAGUUCCUGACACCCAGCAGCGUUACUGGAGUGAUAUUAAUUCUACGCUAUUGUCUGCUGAAUAAAACCGUAUUCUUCAUUUUUUUUUAUUUUUCGGUAUGCUUCUAAAUUUAGCAAUCAGCUGGGAACCAUGAGUUCUACAUGUAAAUCUACAGCACACAUUACCUAAGUAUUUGCAGCAACUUGCUUUAAGAUGAGAUUUUGUAUAUACUAUCUCACCUUAUUAAAAUAGUUACCCUAACACUUUUGUUGCAAUGUAGUACGAUCUUGUCGCCUACCUACGCGUUUGAUGCACCCUUUUGCUGCCUGGCAAUCUAUCCGAGCUUGUU
This is a long non-coding RNA of Dermacentor andersoni, 1421 nucleotides long. RefSeq lists it as uncharacterized. Lineage: Eukaryota; Metazoa; Arthropoda; Arachnida; Ixodida; Ixodidae. The record is from RefSeq and is a predicted model, not a curated record.